RNAcentral lists this ribosomal RNA (192 nucleotides) under Oceanobacillus piezotolerans. RNAcentral describes it as "Bacterial small subunit ribosomal RNA". It matches the Rfam family "Bacterial small subunit ribosomal RNA", at positions 1 to 173 of the family's 1533-position model. Lineage: Bacteria; Bacillati; Bacillota; Bacilli; Caryophanales; Bacillaceae. The record is from Rfam by way of RNAcentral.
UUUUUGGAGAGUUUGAUCUUGGCUCAGGACGAACGCUGGCGGCGUGCCUAAUACAUGCAAGUCGAGCGCAUGAAACUUUUCUGACCCCUCCGGGGUGACGAAGAGUGGAAUGAGCGGCGGACGGGUGAGUAACACGUGGGCAACCUGCCUGUAAGACUGGGAUAACUCGCGGAAACGCGAGCUAAUACCGGA